UAAGAAUUGCUGAGAGAAUAUCUCAGUGGAUAAUGUUGUGGCCUCACAUACAAACAAAUCGAGUUCGUAUCCUGGCUGAUGCCAAAUUUUUAUAUCCGUUUUUUAUUCAUUAUUUUUUUGUCAUUCAUAGGAUCUGAAAUCCCUCUACUCGGAUUAUUUUGAAAGAACACCUAUCAACUCACAAAACAGAUUUUUCGAGAGAUACUGACCUUGAUUUUUCAGACGUGGAAAAAUGAGACACUAGUGCAACGACGGCACUGCGGGACCACGUUCUUCUCGCACAAAAAGGACAUGCGCGGUGUUCAGUUGAUGCGGGGUUCGCACAUCUAAAGAUUAAAUUCCGGUGGCAUGAUUUAGAAACACUUCAUCAGCUGGCCCAUGUUAAAGAGAUGUCAUCUACAACCAACAGCCUGUAUGUUACCCCAAGUUGUCAUGGCGACAAUGGAAACCCGUUCUAGAGGGAUUUUUCAAACCAAUUAUUGUUUUAAGAAAAUUCCUGCACUUCCGGUUCCAGUCGAACACACCGGGUGUGGUUAUGGGCAAAAUAACACCUGAAGGCGAGGAAUAUUAGAUUCAAGUCUUGAAAGAACACGGAUUCCGGUUCAGUUCAUGUGUCCGUCCAAGCGUUAUUACGCAUAGGGAAUGUCAGCAGUGUUGCGAAGUGUGCGUGUAUUCGUCAGUCAAGACAGUUAAUCAUAUUAUCAGUGAUUAAGGUGCACUGUUAUAACAGCUAAGUGCAGAUUUAAAUAUCCAGAACUGUUGUUGUUUGUUGUUAAAAUAUACGGCCAUUGUUUCUGUUAUAAAGAAAAAGAGAACUUUUUUAUUUAACUAUGUUUUUUUUCCAUAAGUAUUAAACGUUAAACGUAGACUUAUAUACUUUUGUUGAUUUAUUUCUUUUGGUAUUUACCUAACAUUUGUCUCAUUUCAAUCUAUGUGACCCGGGCAUACUAAAACCCACCAACA
This is a long non-coding RNA of Ruditapes philippinarum (Manila clam), 963 nucleotides long. RefSeq lists it as uncharacterized. The record is from RefSeq and is a predicted model, not a curated record. The transcript has 3 exons. Lineage: Eukaryota; Metazoa; Mollusca; Bivalvia; Venerida; Veneridae.